RNAcentral lists this ribosomal RNA (421 nucleotides) under Ensifer sp. TG12. RNAcentral describes it as "bacterial SSU rRNA". It matches the Rfam family "Bacterial small subunit ribosomal RNA", at positions 308 to 743 of the family's 1533-position model. Lineage: Bacteria; Pseudomonadati; Pseudomonadota; Alphaproteobacteria; Hyphomicrobiales; Rhizobiaceae. The record is from RNAcentral.
CCACAUUGGGACUGAGACACGGCCCAAACUCCUACGGGAGGCAGCAGUGGGGAAUAUUGGACAAUGGGCGCAAGCCUGAUCCAGCCAUACCGCGUGAGUGAUGAAGGCCUUAGGGUUGUAAAGCUCUUUCCACCGGUGAAGAUAAUGACGGUAACCGGAGAAGAAGCCCCGGCUAACUUCGUGCCAGCAGCCGCGGUAAUACGAAGGGGGCUAGCGUUGUUCGGAAUUACUGGGCGUAAAGCGCAUGUAGGCGGACAUUUAAGUCAGGGGUGAAAUACCCGGGGCUCAACCUCGGAACUGCCUUUGAUACUGGGUGUCUAGAGUGUGGAACAGGUAAGUGGAAUUCCGAGUGUAGAGGUGAAAUUCGUAGAUAUUCGGAGGAACACCAGUGGCGAAGGCGGCUUACUGGUACCAUUACUGA